This 479-nucleotide ribosomal RNA is filed under the name uncultured bacterium. RNAcentral describes it as "partial 16S ribosomal RNA". It matches the Rfam family "Bacterial small subunit ribosomal RNA", at positions 28 to 507 of the family's 1533-position model. The record is from RNAcentral.
GAUGAACGCUAGCGGGAGGCCUAACACAUGCAAGCCGAGCGGUAGAGUCUCUUCGGAAACUUGAGAGCGGCGCACGGGUUCGUAACACGUGUUCAACCUACCUUUAUCUGGGGGAUAGCCUUUCUAAAGGCAGAUUAAUACCCCAUAAUAUAAUGAUUUGCAUCAAUUAUUAUUGAAAACUCCGGUGGAUAGAUAUGGGCAUACGCGAGAUUGGAUAGUUGGUGAGGUAACGGCUCACCAAGGCAAUGAUCUUUAGGGGUCCUGAGAGGGAGAUCCCCCACACGGGUACAGGGACACGGACCAGACUACUACGGGACGCAGCAGUGAGGAAUAGUGAACAAUGGGUGAGAGCCUGAUCCAGCCAGCCCGCGUGAAGGACGACGGUCCUAUGGAUGGUAAGAUUCUUUUGUACAGGGAUAAACCUACCCUCGUGAGGGUAGCUGAAGGUACUGGAAGAAUAAGCACCGGCUAACUCCGUG